This 789-nucleotide long non-coding RNA is filed under the name Homo sapiens (human). RNAcentral describes it as "non-protein coding lnc-ARHGAP10-5:1". Lineage: Eukaryota; Metazoa; Chordata; Mammalia; Primates; Hominidae. The record is from RNAcentral.
GGCAGCUUCCUUAAAGCCGCAGCCGCGGCGGGAGCUUGGGGUGCCGGGCGGUGGCUACAUCAGGCGGCCUCCGCACGCUGCCCCCACCCCCAUCGCUCGGCCGCCCCAAACUUGCUUACGUCCACCCUGCUCUCCUUCUGACCGACCCCAGGAUAUCUGGAGAGAUGUGAAAAGUGUGCUGACGCGGAAGAAGUCGGUUUUUCCGCGAGCAAAGUGUCGUCCCCUCACGCUCUCCACCUGCAGCUCCAGAGUUACCUCUCAGCAGAGCAGCAGCAGCCUUCGCUGCCAGCGAGCAAGACGAUCACGUUCACUCGAUUUGAAUUUAGUUGUUUUAACCGUGCUGGAAAAACCCUUUAAACACAGCUUUCCUCCCAUCCCUUAGACCCCUAACACCAAAAAAAAAAAAAAAAAAAAAAAAAAAAAAAAGAGAGAGAGAGAAAGAUAAAUGAAAGAAGUGGCAGGGUCAAGAGCUGCUCCUCUACUUCCUUAUAAUUUUGUCACUGUACUUACUACUUUAGUAUUGGAUUUUUCCACUAGUUCAAUUUGAAAGCAAGCUUACCAUCGAGGAUAUUCACGUUAUAAUGGGUGGAGGGGGUGGGUCACAUAAGUGGGAGAAACAGACAGGAGGGGGGAAGGAACCAAACUGUUUUCUAAGGAUCGGUUGUCUGCAUGAAGAAAUUUCGGUUUCCCUCCAACCGCCCCCUCCUCGAUUCUCCUCCCGCCCACCCAAAUGCUGCAGUUACUAAGCAAAAGGAUGGGGUUCCUAACUUUGAUUUCUAAGGACUUUUA